CAAGAGAGAUGAUGUGUGUGCAUGUGUUGUCUUUUAGAGUUUUCCACAUCAGGAGACCAUAUAUUUUAAUGACAGAAGUUUCAUCUCCAGAGGGCAUGAUGACUCCUGGAGGCGUCUUCCUCACCAUGGGUCCCUCUGCAGUGCAGCAUGCCUGCUGACGGUGCACCACGCUGGGCUGCAGCCUUCUGCUUCAGCUGGGUCACCCUCCUGGCCAGCCUGGAGCUCAGGGUGCUGGGCCGCCCUCUGUGCUUACAGCGAGCUUUCAUCUGUAGGGGAGGAGCGGAACAGCUAAUUAUUGACUCAUUUCUUUCCUAAUUAAAACAUCCAGGAAAGGAAAAAAAACAUUAGCAGCAGGAAGUGGUUGUGUGUGGGGAUAAACAAGGAGGGACCGCAGAGAGACCAACCUGUACAGAGCUGAGACUGUUGAAGCCGUGAUUGGACAUUUUCUUCCUGGGUUUUUGCUCCAGUAAAUUCAGCCCGGUCCUGGAAAACAUAAAAACACAGCGGAGGCGCACUUAAAUGAGAAUUUAUCAUAUAUAAAAGGGAUCACAGAAUCAA
Molecule: long non-coding RNA, 558 nt
Organism: Micropterus salmoides (largemouth bass)
Lineage: Eukaryota; Metazoa; Chordata; Actinopteri; Centrarchiformes; Centrarchidae
Exons: 2
Source: RefSeq, a predicted model, not a curated record